GUCUGUUUGAAGUUAUAAACAGUCAGGCCUGCUCACUGAAUAGACUUUUAAAGAGCCGCGGUAUAUUGACCGUGCUAAGGUAGCAUAAUAAUUAGCUUUUUAAUUGAGAGCUGGAAUGAAAGGUCAGACAAAAAGAAAUCUGUCUUAAGUUCAAUAUUAAAAUUUAAUCUUUAAGUGAAAAAGCUUAAAUAAUUUAGGAAGACGAUAAGACCCUAUAAAGCUUUAUGUAAAAAAAAUCUUAACUGAAUUAAAAGUAAUAAAAGUUUUAAUCAAUCUUUAUAUUAUAUUGGGGCGAUAAAAGUAUAAUUAAUUUAACUGCUUAUGUCUGUUACAUAAAUAAGUGAGUUUAUAUAAAUGAUCCUUAAUAGAGAUUUUAAGAGCAAGUUACUUUAGGGAUAACAGCGUUAUUUUUUUUGAGAGCCCAUAUCGAAAAAAAAGUUUGCGACCUCGAUGUUGAAUUAAAAUAUCUAUAUAAUGCAGAAGUCAUAUAAGAGGGUCUGUUCGACCUUUAAAUUUUU
RNAcentral lists this ribosomal RNA (518 nucleotides) under Domecia hispida. Its description in RNAcentral is "partial large subunit ribosomal RNA". It matches the Rfam family "Bacterial large subunit ribosomal RNA", at positions 1831 to 2597 of the family's 2925-position model. Lineage: Eukaryota; Metazoa; Arthropoda; Malacostraca; Decapoda; Domeciidae. The record is from RNAcentral.